This is a long non-coding RNA of Megachile rotundata (alfalfa leafcutting bee), 876 nucleotides long. The record is from RefSeq and is a predicted model, not a curated record. Lineage: Eukaryota; Metazoa; Arthropoda; Insecta; Hymenoptera; Megachilidae.
CAAAAGGAUGUUCUCUCUGUGCUCGUGACUCGUAUAAGCACUAUCAGUAAAGUCCUGCGUCCGCUCAACGACAGUAUCCAGGGCAGAUUCUCUCGAAAUGUUUCAAAGCGGAGAAAGCUGUGCUGCUGUCCCAGUCUUCCUGCUGUGGACUCUGAAAUUAAUGACCGAAUCAGAGGAACUUCUUCGAAACCAUCUGCUCCCACAUUUACAUAAUCGCCUUUCGCGUGCAUCGAAACUUUUCGGUAGAAUUUUGGAGAUGAAGACGAGGUUCAAUGAAGGCAAGGUGGAUGAAGAGAAGGUUUAAUGAAGGCAAGGAAGAUGAGGACAAUGAUAAAUCUUGAUGAAAGUAAUGGAAAUUGUGGAACUGUCAGAGCAAGGUUCAAACACUGGGUUGGCAAGAAAUUUUAGCGAUGUCGGUGCAUUAAUGCAGCGACUGCAAUUUGGCACGUGCCGAAGAAUGGCCCGCAACGUUUAUGACAUCCAUUUCGGCGUCGUUCGCUAUGCGACGCCCUUUAUCCGCGGUACGAUAUCAAUUCGCAAUGCUGUCAAUGCACCCGGUCCAUUCCGUGCUUCUUAAAUUUCGAAAAUGCUCGGAGGGAGAUGAUACGGCUGAAACUUCGCGUCGUGAUACGUGGAACACGUUGCGAAAUAUUCUCAACUUUCUAAUGCACCCUUUCCGUAUCGAGGAGGAAAUUAUCGGAAAAGCAUCUCGACAAGUGGAGGACAAGAUAUUGACGAGUGAUCGAGUAGAUUCGAUUUGAGAUUGGAAGUGUAUCUUUUUAAAGGGAAGUGUGUUUUGCAAUUUGGAACGUGGAGCGAUUCUUGGAGGGUUGAGAAUUUUUGCAUUUAUAAAUUUUUAAUUAUUAAAUUACUAUA